This is a long non-coding RNA of Cebus imitator (Panamanian white-faced capuchin), 161 nucleotides long. RefSeq lists it as uncharacterized. Lineage: Eukaryota; Metazoa; Chordata; Mammalia; Primates; Cebidae. The record is from RefSeq and is a predicted model, not a curated record. The transcript has 2 exons.
UAAAAGGCCUAAAUGCCCUAAUCAAAAGACACAGACUGGCAAAUUAGAUAAAAACCCAAAACCCAUCGGUACGCUGCAUCUAGACCCAUUUCACAUGCAAGGCACAAAGACUCAAAACAAAGGGAUGGAGAAAGAUUUACCAACGAAAUGGAUAGCAAAAA